RNAcentral lists this small RNA (83 nucleotides) under Marmota monax (woodchuck). The record is from RNAcentral. Lineage: Eukaryota; Metazoa; Chordata; Mammalia; Rodentia; Sciuridae.
GCUGGGCAUGGUGGUGCACUCCUGUAAUCCCAGCAACUUGGGAGGCUGAGGUAGGAGGAUUGUAAGUUCAAGGCCAGCCUCAA